This is a ribosomal RNA of 397 nucleotides. It matches the Rfam family "Bacterial small subunit ribosomal RNA", at positions 1 to 382 of the family's 1533-position model.
UUUAUUUGAGAGUUUGAUCCUGGCUCAGGAUGAACGCUGGCGGCGUGCCUAACACAUGCAAGUCGAGCGGAGAUACCCAGAAGUACUCGUACGGAAAGGUAUCUUAGCGGCGGACGGGUGAGUAACACGUGAGCAACCUGCCUUCAGCUGGGGAAUAACAUUGGGAAACCAGUGCUAAUACCGCAUGAAAUUACGGGGAGACCUCUUCCUGUAAUCAUAGGACUUCGGUCCGGCAGAAGAUGGGCUCGCGUCCGAUUAGUUAGUUGGUGAGGUAACGGCCCACCAAGACCGCGAUCGGUAGCCGAACUGAGAGGUUGAUCGGCCACAUUGGGACUGAGACACGGCCCAGACUCCUACGGGAGGCAGCAGUGGGGAAUAUUGGGCAAUGGGGGAAACC